RNAcentral lists this microRNA precursor (208 nucleotides) under Oryza brachyantha (malo sina). Its description in RNAcentral is "MIR812 microRNA precursor family". It matches the Rfam family "MIR812 microRNA precursor family". Lineage: Eukaryota; Viridiplantae; Streptophyta; Magnoliopsida; Poales; Poaceae. The record is from Rfam by way of RNAcentral.
AAUAAACGAAUUUCUAAGUUUUUUGGGUGAAAUUUUUGACUAUUCAUCUUAUUUAAAUUUUUUUAUGAUUAAUAUUUUUAUUGUUGCUAUAUGAUAAAACAUGAAUAGUACUUUACGUGUAACUAAUUUUUUUCAGUUUUUUAAUAAAUUUUUCAAAUAAGACGGAUGAUUAAACACUCGAACUAGAAAACCCAGAAAUUCUCUUUUU